Molecule: ribosomal RNA, 418 nt
Filed under: uncultured Entrophospora
Lineage: Eukaryota; Fungi; Glomeromycota; Glomeromycetes; Entrophosporales; Entrophosporaceae
Description: SSU rRNA
Rfam family: Eukaryotic small subunit ribosomal RNA
Source: RNAcentral
AGCAGCCGCAGUAAUUCCAGCUCCAAUAGCGUAUAUUAAAGUUGUCGCAGUUAAAAAGCUCGUAGUUGAAUUUCGGGAUUGACGUGAUGGUCGUGCCUUAAGGGGUAUGAACUGUCGCAGUUGAUUUCUCACCUUCUGGAGAAGCAUGAUGUCCUUAAUUGGGUGUCAUGUGGAACCAGGACCUUUACCUUGAAAAAAUUGAGUGUUUAAAGCAGGCAUUUUGCUCGAAUACAUUAGCAUGGAAUAAUAGAAUAGGACGGCAUGGUUCUAUUUUGUUGGUUUCUAGGAUCACCGUAAUGAUUAAUAGGGAUAGUUGGGGGCAUUAGUAUUCAAUUGUCAGAGGUGAAAUUCUUGGAUUUAUUGAAGACUAACUACUGCGAAAGCUAUUUGCCAAGGAUGUUUUCAUUAAUCAAGAACG